This 394-nucleotide ribosomal RNA is filed under the name uncultured bacterium. Its description in RNAcentral is "partial 16S ribosomal RNA". It matches the Rfam family "Bacterial small subunit ribosomal RNA", at positions 338 to 729 of the family's 1533-position model. The record is from RNAcentral.
CCUACGGGUGGCUGCAGUGAGGAAUAUUGGUCAAUGGGCGCUAGCCUGAACCAGCCAAGUAGCGUGAAGGAUGACUGCCCUAUGUGUUGUAAACUUCUUUUAUAUGGGAAUAAAGUGCAGUAUGUAUACUUCUUUGCAUGUACCUUCUGAAUAAGGAUCGGCUAACUCCGUGCCAGCAGCCGCGGUAAUACGGAGGAUCCGAGCGUUAUCCGGAUUUAUUGGGUUUAAAGGGAGCGUAGGCGGGUUGUUAAGUCAGUUGUGAAAGUUUGCGGCUCAACCGUAAAAUUGCAGUUGAUACUGGCAGUCUUGAGUAGAGUAGAGGUAGGCGGAAUUCGCGGUGUAGCGGUGAAAUGCUUAGAGAUCACGCAGAACACCGAUUGCGAAGGCAGCCUGC